AUUGAACGCUGGCGGCAGGCCUAACACAUGCAAGUCGAGCGGAUGAAGGGAGCUUGCUCCUGGAUUCAGCGGCGGACGGGUGAGUAAUGCCUAGGAAUCUGCCUGGUAGUGGGGGAUAACGUCCGGAAACGGGCGCUAAUACCGCAUACGUCCUGAGGGAGAAAGUGGGGGAUCUUCGGACCUCACGCUAUCAGAUGAGCCUAGGUCGGAUUAGCUAGUUGGUGGGGUAAAGGCCUACCAAGGCGACGAUCCGUAACUGGUCUGAGAGGAUGAUCAGUCACACUGGAACUGAGACACGGUCCAGACUCCUACGGGAGGCAGCAGGGGGGAAUAUUGGACAAUGGGCGGAAGCCUGAUCCAGCCAUGCCGCGUGUGUGAAGAAGGUCUUCGGAUUGUAAAGCACUUUAAGUUGGGAGGAAGGGCAGUAAGUUAAUACCUUGCUGUUUUGACGUUACCAACAGAAUAAGCACCGGCUAACUUCGUG
This 484-nucleotide ribosomal RNA is filed under the name uncultured bacterium. Its description in RNAcentral is "partial 16S ribosomal RNA". It matches the Rfam family "Bacterial small subunit ribosomal RNA", at positions 30 to 507 of the family's 1533-position model. The record is from RNAcentral.